This 558-nucleotide small RNA is filed under the name Arabidopsis thaliana (thale cress). Its description in RNAcentral is "ATSL284410". The record is from RNAcentral. Lineage: Eukaryota; Viridiplantae; Streptophyta; Magnoliopsida; Brassicales; Brassicaceae.
UCGUCCCCAAAGACUAUAUUUGAGCUUGGAAUUUUCAAACAGGCCCUAAGUUCCGGUGUCGGUGACCGAUCAUGUGGUACCGAAAGUUGCCUAAUGAAGUUGUUUGGGUUGCCAACAGAGACACUCCAGUCUCCAAGCCCAUCGGAACACUAAAAAUCUUGAAUAACAACCUCCACCUCAUUGAUCAUACUAGUAACUCCGUUUGGUCAACCCAAGUGACUAGCCAAAGUCUGAAGUCGGAACUGACCGCCGAGCUUCUUGACAACGGCAAUUUGGUAUUGCGGUACUCCAACAACAACGAGACAAGUGGAUUUUUAUGGCAAAGCUUCGGCUUUCCGACGGAUACAUUACUCCAUGAUAUGAAAGUGGGUUGGGAUAAGAAGUCGGGUCUAAAUAGGAUAUUACAAUCAUGGAAAAACAGGAAUGAUCCUUCAACUGGCGAUUACACUUAUAGUAAAACUUAGAAGAAGCAAAAUGACGACUCGGACAACAAUAAUACAAAACUAAUACUUAUUGUUGUCGGAGUCGUCAUUUUGCAUCUUCUAAGUUUUACUAUAA